GGCGCCGUACCCAAGUGGUUUAAGGGAGUGGAUUGCAAAUCCAUGAUUCAGCGGUUCGAAUCCGCUCGGCGCCU
RNAcentral lists this transfer RNA (74 nucleotides) under Olavius algarvensis spirochete endosymbiont. It matches the Rfam family "tRNA". From Rfam's summary of the family: Transfer RNA (tRNA) molecules are approximately 80 nucleotides in length. Their secondary structure includes four short double-helical elements and three loops (D, anti-codon, and T loops). Lineage: Bacteria; Pseudomonadati; Spirochaetota; Spirochaetia; Spirochaetales. The record is from Rfam by way of RNAcentral. RNAcentral also lists the same sequence under 1 other name.